UACCCAUGGAAACGAUCAGGGAUCAAUGCCAGAAGCAUUACCUAAACCACCAACAGGGACAACGAUGAGAACGACAGCGACGAUGGCAGCGGUGGUGAGCAAAGAUGGGAAGACUGACGAUGGUGAUGGCAAUGAGCAAAAAUGGGAAGAUCGACAAUGGUGAUGGAGGAAGAAGAGCAGACCUCGAAAGAAGAUGAAAAUCAAUGAUGACGAUGGCG
Molecule: long non-coding RNA, 218 nt
Filed under: Elaeis guineensis (African oil palm)
Lineage: Eukaryota; Viridiplantae; Streptophyta; Magnoliopsida; Arecales; Arecaceae
Description: long non-coding RNA (EGUI_LNC058692)
Source: RNAcentral